GGUGAGAUGGCUCAGCGGUUGAGAGCACUGACGGCUCUUCCAGAGGUCCUGAGUUCAAUUCCCAGCAACCA
RNAcentral lists this transfer RNA (71 nucleotides) under Mus musculus (house mouse). RNAcentral's name for it is "tRNA-Ser". Lineage: Eukaryota; Metazoa; Chordata; Mammalia; Rodentia; Muridae. The record is from RNAcentral.